AGAAAUAAAGAGAGAUCCUUCCGUCCAAUCAUAAUUCACGAGGACCCCAUCGCUAUGGCAAUGGUUGCCUAGUGACCGAUAAAGCCCUGACCCCCCCUUCCUCUCGCAUUGUUGUGACCUUUCAGAGUCCAGCCGAUGUGGAAUCCCAGGGUUCAUAGUGCUUUCAGACUGUCUGCUACCUUUGAGUGUCCGAAGUGAGAGCUCACAUCCAUCUUCUGACCAGAAGGGGGCGUAAGUAGGGAGCAUGUAACCAGAGAAUGAAAGACAGCG
This 270-nucleotide long non-coding RNA is filed under the name Sander lucioperca (pikeperch). RNAcentral describes it as "lncRNA (ENSSLUG00000008734.1)". The record is from RNAcentral. Lineage: Eukaryota; Metazoa; Chordata; Actinopteri; Perciformes; Percidae.